This 468-nucleotide ribosomal RNA is filed under the name uncultured bacterium. RNAcentral describes it as "partial 16S ribosomal RNA". It matches the Rfam family "Bacterial small subunit ribosomal RNA", at positions 28 to 507 of the family's 1533-position model. The record is from RNAcentral.
GACGAACGCUGGCGGCGUGCUUAACACAUGCCAGUCGAACGGAAAGGCCCUGCUUUUGUGGGGUGCUCGAGUGGCGAACGGGUGAGUAACACGUGAGUAACCUGCCCUUGACUUUGGGAUAACUUCAGGAAACUGGGGCUAAUACCGGAUAGGAGCUCCUGCUGCAUGGUGGGGGUUGGAAAGUUUCGGCGGUUGGGGAUGGACUCGCGGCUUAUCAGCUUGUUGGUGGGGUAGUGGCUUACCAAGGCUUUGACGGUUAGCCGGCCUGAGAGGGUGACCGGCAACAUUGGGACUGAGAUACGGCCCAGACUCAUACGGGAGGCAGCAGUGGGGAAUAUUGCACAAUGGGCGGAAGCAUGAUGCAGCAACGCCGCGUGCGGGAUGACGGCCUUCGGGUUGUAAACCGCUUUCGCCUGUGACGAAGCGUGAGUGACGGUAAUGGGUAAAGAAGCACCGGCUAACUACGUG